Molecule: non-coding RNA, 68 nt
Organism: Phrynosoma platyrhinos (Desert horned lizard)
Lineage: Eukaryota; Metazoa; Chordata; Lepidosauria; Squamata; Phrynosomatidae
Source: the annotation of a GenBank genome assembly
UGAGUGUGGUGUAGUGGUUUAAGCAUUAGACUAUGACUCUGAAGACCAGGGUUCAAAUCAUUGCUCAG